This 31-nucleotide non-coding RNA is filed under the name Rattus norvegicus (Norway rat). Lineage: Eukaryota; Metazoa; Chordata; Mammalia; Rodentia; Muridae. The record is from RNAcentral.
UAGAAGGCUGUUCCCAGAUAAGUAAGGCCUU